This 498-nucleotide transfer-messenger RNA is filed under the name Alphaproteobacteria bacterium. It matches the Rfam family "Alphaproteobacteria transfer-messenger RNA". From Rfam's summary of the family: Bacterial tmRNA, also known as 10Sa RNA or SsrA, is named for its dual tRNA and mRNA-like properties. Its role is to liberate the mRNA from a stalled ribosome. The record is from RNAcentral. Lineage: Bacteria; Pseudomonadati; Pseudomonadota; Alphaproteobacteria.
CCCCUUUCCCUUUGGCUCGAAAUUAACUAUACUCUAUCUUGUCGCGCAAGCGACUAUGGCGAUAAACGCAACUUGGAAUAGGCGGACUGGACCCGGGGGCAGAACCCGGCGCCUCCACCUAAGUUCGCAGUCAGCGAGCGAAGCGAGCGUUACGAGAACCUAGCCGCGGCGUAGCUUGAGCGAAGCCGGGCCAGUGGACGGCCCCCCUUCGCCCUUAAGGGCUUGGCGGACACUCGAAUUCUCAAUUUCGCUUCGCUCAAUAGCGAAUUUCGGCGGGGGCGAAUCAGGCUCGACAGACGCAAUAAAGGAGUUGUUUUUGCCCGUGAUGAUUCCGGCGAUACCGGGUCGCAACUUUAAGUGCCAACGACAACGUGGCCCUUGUUGCUGCUAACGACAACCAUGUCGUAGAGGUUGCAGUCGCUGCCUAAGGGUAGCCUGCAAUCCUAGCACGUAACGCGGUUAUUCGAGGCCGGCACCGGGCAACAGAAGCCGGCCUCA